UCUCUACAAUUUUAAUCUCCUCACCCCUGAGAUCAAUGAUCGCAAAUCCAUUGUGCAUACAAGCUGCCAAGACUACACCAGGUACAUGAGGAUGUUGUUUGAUUCUCCAAACUCCUCCCCCCAAGCAGAUUGAACUCUGAUUUACAGGUUUUGAGAUCGAUCUUAUAUCCCAAACUCUAAUGUGUUCAUCGUAGCUACCAGUAAGGACGACAUUAGGGUCAGAUAUGCUCUUCGUGAUGCAGCAAACACCCAUUUUAUGUUCCCUGGAAUUUCGGAACACUAAAUUUGAGGGACAGUCGCGGAUAUCCCAACAGCUGAAUUUACAGUCAUCAGAGCCUGUGUAUAUCAAGUGGGGUUGGUGGGUAUCGAAGGAAGCUGCCCACAACUCAAAAUCAUGUGCUUUCCAUUCUUGCUCAAUUUCAAGUUCAGUCUCGGAGCGAGAUAAUAGUGAGACAGAGCCAUCAGAAAGCCCCACUACUACCGAUGUAGCUGAAGGACUCCAAUCCAGGCAUAGGCACAUAGAAGAACUGACUUUUGCACCGGUGCCCUCUCUCAACACGAGACCUGCAUCUGGUCCAUCUCAAGUCAUUAAUACAGUGGGAACAUCAAAAUGUCAAAGACACAGUUGACCUGUGCCAACCAACCUAUCACUUGCAAAAGAGAAGUUCAACAUUACUAAAUUAUAACAAUCAUCGAUGUCAAUGUCUAGAAGAGUGUAUUUAUUUUGGCAGGACAAUGACACAUUCAAAUGAUGAGUACAGGAAUGCUGCCAAAUAAUUGUAUGCCCAUUAUUAUAACACUGAAGAACAAUUCCAUUACAAUACCAGACAUAAUGCAAAACGAAGGGAAGAUAGCGGGUACCCUUUUCUUCUGGUCCAUCUGAAGAACUCUCCAAGCUAUAAACUUUGACACAACCAUCCGAGUCAGCUUGUGCCAGCAAGGGACGUCCAAUAUUAGCUUCAACAGGGCUCCAUUUGAUAUCAAAAAUACCAGUGGAUUCCAGACAGUGUAAUAAAUCAAGUUGACCUGAACCAGCAUUGACAUUGAAGAGUACUAUGCUGCCAGAUCGAGAAGGAUUAUCGCCUUCUUGCAGCGUGUAAGUCGAAGCUGCUAGAACAUGAUUGUAAGAAUCAUGUGGACAAAAUUCAACUGCAUCUGUGUUUCCGUUGAGGUAGAAAUGUGCAAUGUCCAUACCUAGUAAACCAAAUGGAGUGCAACUUGUCAAGUAACUUUUUGGCUAUGACUUUUUUUGUUUCUUUUUCUUCUUUUUUUGGUUUUGGAGGUGUGCAUGGUGCAAGUUUCAGCUCAUAUGCACUCUACUGCGAAUAGUAAUCAAAUGCAUAGAAGUAACAAUUAUUCUGAGAAGUGUUUGAACUGCAGGAGCUUUUACAACAAAACAAAACGUCCAUCCAAAGCAAUUCAACAAUUCAUAUCCUAGCGGUCAAAGGAACUCCAAUAUGACUUGAGUCUGCUUAGUAGUGUGGAGUAGCCUGCCUGUAGAGACAUUUGAUGUAUAUGGAACUCACUAUCUUUUUUGGAGUUUACUCACACCUUUGACAAAUUACCCUCACUUCUUAAAAAUUAUCCCAUCGCAAAUGAAACUCCGUGAUUUCAGUCAUAAUCUUAAACUCGUACGCAUUAAAGCAGUGACCGAGGAAGAGGACAAGGAGUUCUUUGGCCUACAAGACACGUGGGACGGAUUGGUACAAUGUUAUUGUUUUUCUAAGUGUUCCAGGAGUUCUUUUUUGGAGCUAACUUACUGCAGGCCUAGACUUCACCCAGCUGCCUGUCCUAGAGAUUCUUUCACCAGCAAGUCUCAACUUCAGUCAGUGAAAAUACCAUGGAAGAGUGAUGAAUUGAAAAUUGGAAAAUGCCAAAGUGUGCCUUUUAGGUACUUGUUAAGCAUUGUUAAAUAUGGUAUGAAAUUCAAAAAUGUAAAUUCGAAGUAAGUGAUUUUACUAAAAUGCAUAAUUCAUUCAUUUUGAAAAUGUCUUGAAAAGCGUUAGUUAUUUCUACUUGCAGUUAGCUUGUUAACAAAGACCCUUCAAAACUUAGUCAGUGAAAGCACCAUGAAAGAGUGAUGCAUUCACUCUGAAUCCACCAUACGCAAUUAAGGAAGAACUCCUUUUCUCAAGCACAAGCUAGCAAAAUAAUAGCCCGACAUGACAAAAGCAUGGAUAUGCUCAGCAAAAAAAAACUAGCUAGUUGUUGAUAACUCCACAGUAAUAGCCAUUUUUGUGACACUGGCUACUUGAAGUACUUCAAACUUCAUGCACCCGUGCGUGUGCGUCGACUAAUCCUAAUGCCCACCACCACACAAAUCAACAAACUUUCUGCGAUAUCAAUGCCUAUGAAUUCAUGCUCAAAAGGGAAAGGGCAAAAAGAUUAACACUACACAGAGAGCAUGCACUCCAAUUCACACAGACAUCACCACAAACAGUUGGUGGGCAACCAGGAAAAAAGCAGCAAGAUCACAUUAUAACCCCCGUUUUCCCUGGUUACUGUCUAUGAAGAAGGAAGGACUGUAGAGAAGACGAGAGCUCACUCGGUAGGACCGCGAAGACGACAGCAGCAGCAGGACGCUGUCAGAGACCGGGAAAGAGAGACGGUCGGAACGGGAGCGCUGCUAUGGCUGUUGUGUCUUUCACUCCAUGGCAACCGGUGGGUGUCACUGAUUUUAUGAUGCAAUUUUUAUUUUAUUUUUAAUCAUUGAUAUGUUAAUUUUAAAUUAGUUUUGUUUGUCUCAACUAAUCAAAACUCAAAAGUCACUUUUAUAUUUUUCCCAUAAAUCUAAAAUAUCAUUUUUAAUUUCAAAGGAUUAUGUAAGAAUUACAUGUGAAUAUUUGUAUUUAUAUUUAUCUAUUUCGAAACGAUGUGUUCUAUUUAAAAAAAAAAAAAGAAUCAAAAAGUGUGCUCCUUAAAAUAAUCAAUAAAAAAAUUUACUCCAUUAUUAUUUUUUUUAAGAUUAGGUUUUAAGGAAAUUGAACUUUGUUGCGCAUGAGUAUCAUUAUCAUUGCCCAAUACUUAAUACACGCAGUCUCCGAAAUCAUACAAUAAAUUAUGUGGGUUGACAGCGUGCCACACCCGGUCAAUAAAUUUGACUCGAGAGAGCUUAUGGGCCCUCAGCCUCUUAACCCAUUUUGAAAGGCACAUUUCUUUGCAUUUGAAUAAGCAAUUUUUUUUCUUGGACUCAACCCAUGGUUCGUUCAGACGCAAUCAAAUCUGUGCGGAGCAACGGAGGAGACAGGCAAGAGCCUUUGGGCCCUCUCAAAGUAAGAGAAAAAUAGGGACAACCAUGAAUGGAAGGAAGUACAUUAAUACUGGAGAGAGGGUUCUAUAGUCUAUAAACUUUCUACAUAAGGUUUUUUUUUUUUUUUGGUCGAAAGAUAGAGAUCAUUACUAAUAAGUUGCGGAACCACAACUAAGUUCGGAAUCAUUACAUAAUAAAACCCAAAGUGGAUGAGGGGGAUAUAAAAUCCAAUUGCAAGGAAGACGGUUGUCCCGGUGGGCUCUUGCUAUCCAAUCGGCGGGCUUGUUUGCUCCUCUAUGCACAUAAGAAACGGAGACGCCUUUAAGUUGGGCCAACAGCACUUUGCAAUCCUCUAAAAUUAGUUCCACUGUCCAUGGGCUUGGUGCAAAGCCCAUCAAGCUGUCCAUCACAGUUUUGCAGUCAGAUUGUACUUAACUUUCUACAUAAUGUUUAGUAAUACGAUAAAAUGGAAUAGUAUAGAAUAGUGAGUCGACAACAAAUUUGGAUGGCGUCGACGACCACAUUGACCACAUUCAAACAAGAAAAUGGUGGGCUCCUCAUGUAACUCCUUUAGAAAAAAUAUUAGGUACAAUAAUCGUAUCCUAUCAACAAUACACUAGUUCAUCAACACGUGUUAAGGGGGCCCACAUUUUCUAAUUUUUUAAAAAUCUCUUUUUCACUAAUCUUUUCUCUUCCAUAGACACCCCUCCCUCUUUUUUUCUUUCUCCGUCUUCAUUCAUCCUCGUUCUCCUCUCUCAACCCUCAAAUUCAACGCAUGGUCGCGCAGUCUCCAUUUUUUUGGUUUCGCACGAAAAUGCACAAAGCUCCGUCAGCUUGUUACCUUAGCUCGCGCGGCUUGGACCUGACCAAAGCCUUCUUCAAGUCAAUCCAGUACACCCUCCUACAGCUGUCGUCCUCCAAGUGGCAAGUACCACAUCAAGAUCGCCAUCGUCGGGGUCGACAACGUUGACAUGGCCAUCACCCUUACCAUCCUCACCCCGGACCUCACUUAACGAGCUGCCACUCAUCGACGCUGACCUUCACAAGCUCUACGGCGAGAUGCUUGACCUCCAGCACGCCACCGCCUUUCUCUCAAUGGUUGACGAAGGCCGAGAUCUUAGUGAAGGCAAGACGGACUUGCAUAAACACCAAAAUCUUUGCCUCUGUUGUCGAAGGAAAAAGAGACGGAUAAAAAAAUUCUGAGGACUAGUUCGGCUUCCAAUUCCAAUGCUUUGAAACUGGGGCCGCACGAUCGCAUUGGAAAUCGAUUCAGGACCCGAGUUCCGAUCCCGUUACUUACCAAACGUAACAUCCAUGCACGUGAUUUGACCAAACCUCACGUAAGAUUUCCGCACUCUCAAAUAUCGCUGUCGUCCGGUCAGCCGGUUAGCACUGGCUCACUGGACGGCGAGAGCCGUCGAACGGAUCCCUAAACGACCGUGUAAUAUUCCCGGUAAAAUUACGGGACAGAAUUGUCUCCCCGACCGGGAGAACAUCCGUUAUAACUCUCUUUCCUCGCAUCUCCUUUUCUCUCCAACUGCCAAAUCCCCCUCGCGGAUUUUCUCGAGAAAAAAAGAGCAAAACUCCGCUUCCGCAAUUUUCUCGCUGCCGGCGCUCUUCUCUUCUCCUUCUCGCUGCGGCGUGGGAUCGUGCGGGGAUUUUGAGCUCGGCAGCGAGUUUCUCGGGGCCGAGGUUCCUUUUGCUAUUUCCGAGGAGAGAGAAGCUCGUCCCUUCGCCUCUCUAUUCGGUUGGAUUUUCAUCAACCGAUCGAGGCCGACCCUCUCGAAACGCCCUCUUCUCUGCGUUGUAUCUCUCUCUCUCUCUCUCUCUCUCUCUCCUGCUUUUUCCCGAGGGAGAAAAUUCCAAUCUUGCUUUUGGGUUCGAGUGAAUUUGACGAUUUUCCGAGCGCUUUGAUUGGGCUCGGAUUGAAUCUUUUGGGGGUUCUGCUUGUGGCGAUAAUGCGAGUGUAAAAAGCGCGUCCUUUUUGUCGGCUCGUGAAGCUUCCGCGGCUGUUGUGGAGAGUUUCGUGAAAUUUUAGUGUAAUUCAUCGUGGUCCCGAGCUCGGCUCCGUUCGGUGGCUCAUCUUUCGUCGUCGCCAGAAGCGUUGGGCUGUUUCGAGGGGUUUUAUCACGAAAAACAUAUCUGUUUUUUAUUAGAGAGGGAGAGGAGAUGUGGCGAGAUGACGAUGGGUCUUAUGCCGGGUAGCUCUGGGUACUUGAACUUGUAUCCAGAGCGGACAAUGUCGUAUUUCAGUAAUCUAUAUGUGCUGGGAUUGACUGUGACUUCCGGUAUAGGCGGACUGCUCUUUGGUUACGACACUGGUACCGAACAUCUUGUGUUGUUUUCCAUGAGCAUGGUUUACAUCAGUAAAUAUCUAUAUGCAUUUUCCGCAUGUUAAUCGUUGUGUACUCGUUCCUCUCUAAGUACAUGUGCAGCGCGCAAAUUUGUUGAUUGCGAUUAAUGAUGUUGCUCAUUUUCUAGUUUUCUCGGGUGGAAUAUUGUUUUGCUUGCACGUACUAGUUGUUAGAUGUAUGCUUCUCAUGAGUUAUCUGAUUCCUUCCGAUGCUUCUUGAGAUUAGGUUGAUAUAUGUCGAUGGCCAAGCAAUUUGGUUGUAAUUUGUUAUUUGGCUAAAAGUUCUGGAGCAACGUAUGUUCACUUGUGUCUAUCCAGAAAAGAGUUGGUGUUUGCGGAGUUGGUCGAAUUUGUUAAACUGCAAGUGCAAAUGUAUGGGAAGUCUAUGCAUUAUUCUGUUAGUAAUCUUGAAAUUUAUCUCGCAAUAGAAGUUCAUGAACCAGGCCAAUUUUGGAGCAGCUUCGUGAUAAUGGAACCAACCAGCAAAAAGCAUUAAAGCUGCAAAGACUAAUGCACCAAUUGCGGUACAAUAAAGUUGUAAUUCACUAGUUAUUCCCGAUGCUUGUCAAAUCUGAAAAAAAACCAGAGGUUAUUUGUAUUUCUCGGAAACCCCGGCCCACAUCGCCAUUCAAUAUUUCUUGGCCCACUAUUGGCCAAACCACCUGGGCACUAGGUCCAAGUGAGUAGGGUCACUUAGCCAUGCUUCAUAAUUGGAAAAACGAGCACCAUGGAAAUACAUGCCACUCAGCCAAAGAAAGAUAAUGGAAAGUUUCUUAUCUUUAUAUACAGAAGCAACAUUGCUGGAUAUAUACUUUCCACUUCAAGAUUUCUUACGCAGUAUAUUUGUUUUUCAACCUUGCUUUACCUGUUGAUUUGUUUGUUUUUCUUUAUAAGUUCGAACACGGGCAAUCUUUGAAAGGUUUUGGUUCUGCUUGAACUUUGGUCACACUAUUCUCUAUUUCUGUGACCCAGCUGAAAAGUUCUUUGGCGCAUUAUCAGCAUUCAAGAGCACCAUAAUAUUCGUUGUGCUAUCCCCAGGUUUAUGGGGGUAAAUUCCCUCUCAAAAAAUUAUUUUUUUCCCUCCAUCAUUUUCUUUUUCAUGGUUCUUAACAUCUUUGCGAUUUUGUCUUCCCUUCCAUAUGUUGACUGGAGGAUUAGAUAUACAAGCUUAUUAGUUGGUUUGAGAUGUUUUACUGUAACAGAUGGUAGGAUGCUGCUUCACUUGUAUAUAUUUUUUGAAAAAGGGGAUGCUUACAGGAUUUACUAUUUAAUAUCCCACUGCGCUUGUGUAUCCAGAAAGAGAGUCAUAAAUUGAGAUUCCUUACGAGUGAUAAGCCUGUCUUCUUCAGAAAUUUGGUUAUUCUUUUGAGUGUACUUCACACCAAAGAGGGGCGCGUUGUAUCGAUAUUUUCUGGAAUUAUAAAUUAAGUACUCUUUUGCUACUACUAGGCCAUAAUGACUUGCUUGUUACAGGGGUCAUAUCUGGGGCGCUCCUGUAUAUUAAAGAUGAUUUUGAGGCUGUCAAUGAGAGUAGCUUUCUACAGGUACGAAAAGAGAGCNNNNNNNNNNNNNNNNNNNNNNNNNNNNNNNNNNNNNNNNNNNNNNNNNNNNNNNNNNNNNNNNNNNNNNNNNNNNNNNNNNNNNNNNNNNNNNNNNNNNNNNNNNNNNNNNNNNNNNNNNNNNNNNNNNNNNNNNNNNNNNNNNNNNNNNNNNNNNNNNNNNNNNNNNNNNNNNNNNNNNNNNNNNNNNNNNNNNNNNNNNNNNNNNNNNNNNNNNNNNNNNNNNNNNNNNNNNNNNNNNNNNNNNNNNNNNNNNNNNNNNNNNNNNNNNNNNNNNNNNNNNNNNNNNNNNNNNNNNNNNNNNNNNNNNNNNNNNNNNNNNNNNNNNNNNNNNNNNNNNNNNNNNNNNNNNNNNNNNNNNNNNNNNNNNNNNNNNNNNNNNNNNNNNUCAACCCUCCCCCCACUUUUUUUUUUUUUAAAUUCUUAAAUUUAAAAUUUUCUUAUUUUUUUUUUUAAUUUUAAAAUUUUUAAAAUUAAAAUUUUUAAAAUUUUCUUUUUUUUUAAAAAAAUUUUUGUUAAUUUUUAUGCUGAUUUGGAGCUCCGGCGAGCCACGUAAGCAAAAAAUAAUAAUAAAAUAUUGCCACGUAGGAUUUCCGGCAAGGGUCGCCGGAGGUGGCACUUAAGUGUCCCACUCGAAAAAAAAAGUGGCACUUAAGUGUACCGUUUGGAAGUUAUGGCACUUAAGUGUCCCGGCGUGCCAAGUUAUGGCACUUGUGCUGUUCUUCUGCCGAUUUUUUUUUUAAAAGUAUAUUAUCCUACUCUGAUGAGUCCAGAAUGUGUCAAAGCCAGAAGGAGGAAAAAUCCAGAACCAGACUUGUCAAGGUUACGACAUGGAUCUAGAAUUAGACUGAUUUAGAAACUAAUCAUCAACAUCUAGUUAUCUGGCAAAGGAUUUCACUUUCCAUAUAUAAUUAUAUUGAUUGAGUCAAUAAAAAAUUGACGAAAUCAAUCCUAAUAAUAAGUUUCAAAUGAGAAAGCUUCACUUAUGGAAACUAAGAUUCUAUUUGUAUGGAUGACCAGAAUCAAGUAGAAAUUCCAUCAUUGUCUUCAAUGGCUAUAAGAUCUCUUUGAAUCAUUCUAUCCAAUGGGUAGAUUGAAAGAAAAUCCUCUGAUGAUUGGCUAAUGACUAGUGCAGAAUAGAGAAGUAUUUAAAGAUGUCAACUAGUCAAGAAGAGAAUGACAUGAAUUGAAAAUUACGAAGUUUGAAACUGUUCUCAAUUACUUGUCUUUUUCUGUAAACUUUAUAAAUUGUGAUUAAGAGAGACAAAAAUACAAAAAUGGCGUCUUAGUGAGCUAAUGUGAUCUACCAUUGAAUGUUUACACUAAUAGUUAUAAACUAUUAUUGAUCAUAUAGUGGAAUUAAGCCAGUAGGCUGUCAGCAUAGGAGAGUUGACGUAAUUUUAAUCUAAGCUGAACCACUAUAAAUUUCGUAUGUAAUAUUAUCUUCUCUUAACUCACUUUACUUAAGUCUGUUGUACUUUUAUAGGUUGUCUCAAAAUUCCGGUGACUUGUAUAACAGACUCUGAUCCUUAUUUAGAUUUUGUUAGCAACUUUUCUGUGAUUAUUUGUCAAAAUUUCUUUUAAACAUUUAUUCGCCUCCUCUAGGUGUUCAUAUUAGCUUCAUCAACCAGUUCAAUUAUCUCAUCUUCAACUUAUUAUAAUCGUGUUUUGGCACAUUUCUCCAUGUAGAGGGUGAUAUAAGUGACUCGGGAUACAUUUGAUAUUGAUUAUUGUUGCUUUCCAUCGUUGAUGAUCUAAGCUCUCCAAUUGCAUGAGGAACAACAUGCUAAUUUUGUACUCAACCUUUCAGUUUGAAGCCAAGAGUUCCGGUUUGGUUCCAUGCAGUUUUUGCCAAUUUUCACAUUUUUCUCGAACAGCAUAAUUGAACCUAAUCGAAUUGAGAUGACUCUUAGAUUGGCAUUGCUAUCACAAAUGGUACACAACCAGGAGUAUAAUAUAUUUCAGUUUAUUACAUGCUAGGAAAUUACGAUCACAAAUAGAGACAAGAUUAAGAGUAACAUAGCUAUAAGAUACUCGAAAUCUGGUGGGCGGAGAUCGAAGCCGGAUCAUGCUUAGUUGUCUUAUUAGACGAGCUGGAACAACCAUAAGCAGAGCAGAAAGUCUGUAGCGCCAUUAGCAGAAAGAAUAGGAUGGUCGCCACCAUCACCAGGACCUUCCAAGCACGAUACACAUAUCGCUCUAUCAUAUUCUGGGUCUUGAUGCUGGGCGCAGCAUUGUAGAACUCGUUGACUUUCUUGAUAGUCUUGUCCAGUUCACAGUCCCCGUUUACUUCGAUCGAGUCACUCAUUCCAUUGAACAGACGUGUCACGUCGUCGUCUUUGAGGUGGCCCGUGAUGAUACUGCCUUUCCUGAGCAACUUCACAUCGUCCGGGGUAUCAAUUAGGCCAUCCAUUAGCUCCACGAAGCGAGCAAACACCAAGGGACCAGAGAUGGCCAUCGCCUCGUACGCCACCAAGUUCCGUAUCACAACUUCUGAGUUGACACCAAGUUGGAUCUCAGGAAGUUGAAGUGUGCAUGUUCUCUCUUCAAACCGUAUGUCCUUUAUGAACCGCGUCUGGCUGAAUUUUACGCCCGCUUUGGCAAGAGAGGAUGCUGUCGGGAUCAAUGCCUUCUCUUCAGGGGAAGCUUCUUCGUUCCUGGAUGAAUCGAGGCUUGACUUUAGUUGAUGAUAGAGAUCCGCAAGGCCUUUCAGCAUCUGAGCAUGGGGCAUAAUUGUCUCCAAUAAAGUUGAAGUCGAGCCCAAUAAAGUUGAAGUCGAGAUCUCUACUGAAUAGCAGACGGGCCGCGCAGACAUAAGCUCCGGACGAGCAGGCCCGCUAUCAUGUUUUUCCAUAUCGAUGAUGUCGGCGGGAAUACUGAUCUUGAACUCGUCCUGUCUCGGCACAACCAUGCUGUAAAGAAGAUCCAACAAAUGCGCGCGCUUCAAAACCUUGGCAAGGUCGUAGUCUAUGGUUUCUUUAAGCGGCGACAGAGCUUUGCAAAACCCCACCAGCAUGAGGGGGAAGGUCCCUUCGACAAUAGUCUUCCGCUCGGCGACUUGUAGCGGCAAGCACCCGACUGUCAGCAUCUUCUCCGUGAAGAAUAUCGGGAUUUGAUUCUCCAACAUCAUGACGUCCCUCAAUAUGGCGUCCUCAGUAAGCUUCUUGCCCGCGUGGUCGGCUAGGCCCUGCAAAUAAGGAGACGACUGGAGGGUCUUCUUGUUGAUGCCAUGCUGGCAGAGCAGAUCAAACAAGAACAGCGCAUCGACGGUCAUGAUCCACAACAACAUGUCAGUCUCCAUGACCAAGAACUUGUGGUAACACGUGCGGAUAUAGAUGUCCAACUUGGAGAGCGUGCUCUUGAGCUCCGCAAAGCUCAAGUGCUGGAACUCCUUCUGGAGAUUCUUCACAACGUCGAGCUUGACUCGCUCCAUCUCCCUGAGCUGAGGCUGAAGGUGGUGAUAGGGUCCUAAGCCGACAAGUUGGGGGGUAUAAGCCUGAGGCUUGGUAGAGCUGACUGAUUUGGGGACUUGGAAAACGCAGACAUUGGAAGGAAUGUCCUUCUUGAGCUCUUCGUUGAAAUUGGUUUGGACAUGAUGGAACCAAUCUCUCAUAUCUUUGGAUGAAGAAGGCAUUGUUGAUGAUCAAACCUAGAUCAGCUCGUUUGGGUAUCUACAGAUUCGGUUCUGCACAUCAUCCUAGCUCUACUGCCUUGUUUAUAUAGAGCUGAGCUUUGCCCAUCUCGCCAUUAAACCCUGAGAAAAAAAAAUUAGAAAAUUAAAAUUUUAUGUGCUAGACUAUGAUGAUUGUGUUAAUGGCACAUAUCAAGGCGUCACAAUAGGUCUUAAACCCAUAUAUGGCCAAUUUAAAUCAUAUUUGAGUCAUAUAUGAAUCACUUACAUUUUGAAGUGGGUCAUAUAUGAGCUACUUACAUUUUGAAGAGACUAAUUAAAUGGGUUUUGAAUGGGUUGAACUUGAAAAUCCAUUUUUAAACCAAGCCUCACACUCUCUCUUUCCCUCUUUAACUUUAUAAAAAUGUUUUUUUAAUAAAAAUCGAAAUUAGAAUUAUUUUUUAUAUUUCCUUUUUCUUUUUCCUUUUUCUUUCCUUUUUUUUUUUUCUUUUCUUCUUUCUCCUUCUUUAAUUGGUGGUCGGCACAACGAUAGCCAACAACCAAUUAGGUAAGGCUCAAGCUUGCUGGAUCUAGCAAGACUCAAGCAAGCUUGAUCUCGUUGAUCAGGCAAGGCUGAGGCCUCACUGAUGACUAGUGAGGCUCGAGCUUGCUGGAUUUGGCAAGACUUGAGCUCAUCGACGUCGGGCGAGCUUGAUCUCACUGGCGCCUCAUUGAUGACUGUUGAGGCUCGAGCUCACCGGAUCUGGCAAGACUUGAGCUCAUCGAUGUUAGGCGAGCUUCAUCUCAUAGGCAUUGAGCGAGCUUGAUCUCACUAAUCUGACGAGGCUGAGGCCUCACUGAUGACUAUUGAGGCUCGAGCCUCACUGAUCUAGUGAGAUUUGAGCUUAUUGGCAUCGACCGAGCUCGAGCUUGCCAAUCUAGCGAGGUGGAGGCCUCGCUAACAAUUAGUGAGGCUUGAGCCUCAUUGAUCAAGCGAGCCUUGAGCUCGCUUGUGGCCGGUUGCCAGCCGUCAUCGUGGCCGGCGGCCUGUCAAAAAACAAGAAAAGGAAAAAACAAUUAAAAAAUUGAUUUUUAAAAAAAUAAAUAAUAAUUAAAAUUAGAUUUAUUAAUAAAUAUUUUUUAUGAAAAUUAUAAAACUUGUCUAUCAAAAUUGUAUUGCAUUAAAGUGUUUUAGCAAUACCAUUUUAAUAAAUACAUAAGAAAUAAGCUUUCUUAGGUUUAGUAAAGGUUUUUAGCAUUUUUAUUUUAUUUACUAAUUUUUUAUUGCUUAAUUUACUUUUUAAAUUUGACGUGAAGUUUUUAUUAAAGUAACAUAUAUUUGAAGAGCUUAAAGUUAAUUAAACAGGUGAGAGUGGAUUAAUCUAAAUUGAGUUAAAUAUUAAUGUGUUUCGAUAAUAUGUGUUAUGUCGGGUAUGGAUUGAGUCGAGUAUGAGUAAUCAAAUUUACAUUACAUGAAAAUUGGUCAAAACUAAUUAAAUGUGUCAAUAUAGAUCGGACCAUUUUCGACCUAACCUAACCCCACCCGACCCACCCAUUUGACAAUACACAUAGGCAUGUGUUGUCAGUCUACACAUGAGACCUUUUCUUGCUAGAAUUCAGCAGAUAUACGUCUAGAAAAAUACCCAUAACACGCGUAAAAGUAUCUUGCACUCGAAAUUGACGUAUCAUGAAAUUGAGCGAAUGUUCAUGUCAAAAUAUCUUGUUUCUUCUAUAAGAUUAUAUGCGGUAAGGUGGGAUAACCCUUAUGAGUGAGCGCGGUCAGUUUGUAUGUUUCGAACUUACAUAUGUACAAUUGAUUGUGCAUUGGCUAAUUGAUUUCAAUAAUUAACGGGAUAAAUUAUAUUCUUUCUCGUUAAAAAAAAAAAUUCGACAGUAAUUCAUGAUGCGUUUCCAUCUACUGUAGAUUCAUCACUUGUGUUGUGUGGUUUUUGUUGGGACUACUUGUAGAAUUUUCAUCCGAGAUUCAUUUAGACGGGGAUGCAAGUUUUUCCCAACACAUUUCUCGUGUUUUUGUGGAGGGAAAGUCACUUUCUUUUGAUAUAAGACUCAACCCCUAUUGAAGAUAAAGUAUAUCAAGAGUGCCAAAACUUGGCAUAGGUGAACAUUUUAGUGCCAAAAGUACACUUAAGUGCCACUUUUUAUUUAUUUAAUUGGGACACUUUAGUGUUAAGUCCGGCCAAAUUAACAGGAAAUAUGACAUGACUUAUUUUAAUAAUAUAAGUUAUUUAUGUGACUCACCGGAAUGCUUGCUCGGUAAUGAAUGUGCAAAAUGACAUUGUUUUGCCCCUAAAUUUAUUAAUUUAAUAUUAAUUAGAAAUAAAUUAAAAAACUAAAUUAUUUUUAUAAAAAAAAAAACAAAAGAAGAAGAACGAGCGGCAGGUUCAACGAGGGAUGUGGAGACCCAUGCCGAACCUACUGCUAACAUUAUUUUUUAAUAUUUAAAUUUUUAAUUAAUAUUUAUAUUAAAAAUUAAUUUUAUGGGCUUUUUUACUGACAUGGAAAUUUUUUCCAUGUAGAUAAUUUUUUUAAAGAAUUGCCACAUGGAUGAUAUUUUAAAAAAAAAAAUUUGCCAUGUCAAUAAACAAAGUCGCCGAAAAAUACCACGUCAGCCGUGUGGCCGGAGUUUCUCAUCAUAGACACUUAAAUGUUCCGUUCUUUUUUGAUUUGGACAUUUAAGUGUACUUUUUGAAAUUUUUGACAUUUAAAUGUCUACAUGUAUCAAGUUAGAAGCAAGGCCUUGUUCCAUUUUGUUUGGUCCACGUUGACUCAAAAGGAUUACGGGUCGUAAUUACUGCGGAUAACCACGCAUGGGAUGAAUUUUUUUUUUGACGCGAAGGAGAUUAAAAUCCGGGUUUUCUCCACAAGUAGUUUUGCCAUCUUUUGGCUCUCAAUUCUGUUUUUAAGGAUUUUUUAUGGCACAAGGUUUUUGUAGAGACUCAAUUUGCUUACGGGGCUAUGUUGGGAAAUCGAAUUGCAUUUGUCCUAAGUGGACAUUGUUUCUCGACGAAUAGUUAUUCGAUGGAGCAUGUCAAGGUACGCUUUCCGUAUUUUUUUCAUGCCUUACUUCAUAUCCACACCAAACCUCAUGUCAUGUGAUUAUUAUGUUGACUCCAAUCCCGAGCCUGACAUUUUUUCCCGAAGAAAAAUUAUUCAAUAAAAUAUACUCAGUAUGUGAUCCUAGCCAUAUUCUCUUUUCAUGCUUCUUGUCAUGCGAUUGUUAUGUUGACUUCGUGUGAUUCCAAACACUUGGUAGUGACAUUAACUCCAAUCCCGAGUCUAACAUUUUUUUCUGAAGAAAAAUUAUUUGAUGAAAUAUAUCCAACACGUGAUCCUUACUGUAUUCCUUUUUCAUGCCUCUCCUGUCUUGCGAUUAUUACGUUAACUUCAUGUGAUUCCAAACACCUAGUAAUUACAUUGACUCCAAUCUUGCGUGAAAAAAAAAAAAAAAAUCAAAGAAACCCAACAUAUGAUCCUCGCCGUAUUCUUUUUUCAUGCCUCAUGUCAUGCGAUUGUUACUUUGAUUUCAUAUGAUUCCAAAUAACCAGUAGUUACAUUGACUCCAAUCCCGUGUGAACAUUUUUUUUGAAAAAAAAAUUAUUCAAUGAAAUAUAUCGCAGCGUGUGCUUAUUUUUGUCUUUAGUUAAUGCCUCUUAUGUCAACUCCAUGUGACUCCAAACACCUGGUAGUUACAUCAUCUCCAAUUCCGUGGGAACAUUUUUUUCAUGUGGAAGAAUUAUUCAAUGAGAAAUACCGUAGCGCAUGGUCCUUUUCAUCUUUUGUUUACACCUCACAUCAUGUGAUUGUUACAUUGACUCCAUGUGGUUCCAAACACCCGGUAGUUACAUUGACUCCUAUCUCGUGUGAACAUUUUUUUUCAUGAAAAAAAUGUAUUCGAUGAAAUAUAUCGUCACGCAUGGUCCCUUUCGUCUUUUGUUUAUGCCUCACAUCAUGUGAUUGUUACGUUGGCUCCAUGUGGUUCCAAACACCCGGUAGUUACAUUGAUUCUAAUCCUGUGUGAACAUUUUUUUUUUUUUGAAGAAAAAUUAUUUGAUGAAAUAUACCGUAGGGUGUGGCCUUUUCGUCUUUUGUUUAUGUCUGCCAUCAUGUGAUUGUUAUGUUGACUCCAUCUGGUUCCAAACAGGCAGUAGUUACAUUGACCCCAAUUUUGAAUGAACAUUUUUUUUCUUGAAAAAAUAUUAUUCGAUGAAAGAUACGGCAACGAGUGGUCCUUUCCAUUUUUUUUUCUUGCCUCAUGUUAUGUGAUUGUUAGCUAACUCAUUGUGGAUGAUAUGUUGACUCUAAGUCUCAUGUCAAGUUUUAGUUACAUCUCCAAUACCUUGUCUAACACUUUUCUUUCUUGAAGAAAAAUUGUUCGAUAAAAUAUACCGUAGUGCAUGGUCCUUUUCGUCUUUUGUUUAUACCUCACAUCACGUGAUUGUUUUGUUGAUUUCAUGUGGUUCCAAACACCCGAUAGUUACAUUGACUCCAAUUCCAUGUGAACAUUUUUUUCUUGAAGAAAAAUUAUAAGAUGAAAUAAACUGUAGUGCUUGGCCCUUUUUCUCUUUUGUUUAUGCCUCUUACAUUGACUCCAUGUGGCUCCAAACAUCCGGUAGUUACAUUAACUUCAAUUCUGUGUGAACAUUUUUUCUUGAAGAAAAUUUAUUGUAUGAAAAAUACCUUAGUGUGUGGUCCUUUUCAUCUUUUGUUUACGCCUCAUAUCAUGUGAUUGUUACGUUGACUCCAUGUGGUUCCAAACACCUGGUAGUUACAUUGACUCCUAUCUCGUGUGAACAUUUUUUUUCAGGAAAAAAAUUUAUUCGAUGAAAUAUAUCGUCACGCAUGGUCCCUUUCGUCUUUUGUUUAUGCUUCACACCAUGUGAUUGUUACGUUGACUCCAUGUGGUUCCAAACACCCGGUAGUUACAUUGACUCCAAUCCCGUGUGAACAUUUUUUUUGAAGAAAAAUUAUUCGAUGAAGUAUACCGUAGCGCGUGGCCUUUUCGUCUUUUGUUUAUGUCUCCCAUCAUGUGAUUGUUAUGUUGACUCCAUGUGGUUCCAAACAGGCAGUAGUUACAUUUACCCCAAUUCUGAAUUAACAUUUUUUUUUAAAGAAAAGUUAUUUGAUGAAAUAUACCGCAAAGCAUGGUCCUUUCCAUUUUUUUUUUAUGCCUCAUGUCAUGUGAUUGUUAGUCGACUCAUUGUGGUUGAUACGUUGACUCGAAGUCUCAUGUCAAGUGUCAGUUACAUUGACUCCAAUCUCAUGUCUAACAUUUUUUUUUUGCUUGAAGAAAAAUUAUUCGAUAAAAUAUACCAUAGCGCGUGGUCCUUUUCAUCUUUUGUUUAUGCCUCACAUCAUGUAAUUGUUAUGUUGACUCCAUGUGGUUCAAACACACGAUAGUUACAUUGGCUCCAAUCCCAUAUGGAAAUUUUUUUCUUGAAGAAAAUUUAUUCGAUGAAAUAUGCCACAAUGUGUGGUCCUUUCCAUUUUUUUCAUGCCUCAUGUCAUGUGAUUGUUAGUUGACUCAUUAUGGUUGAUAUGUUGACUCGAAGUCUCACGUCAAGUGUUAGUUACAUUGACUCCAAUCACAUGUCUAACGUUUUUCGCUUGAAGAAAAAUUAUUUGAUAAAAUAUAUCGUAGCGUGUGGUCCUUUUCGUCUUUUGUGCAUGCCUCACAUUAUGUGGUCGUCACAUUGACUCCAUGUGGUUCCAAACACCCAGUAAUUACAUUGACUCCAAUCCCGUGUGAACAUUUCUUUCUUCAAGAAAAAUUAUUCGAUGAAAUAUACUGCAACACGUGGUCCUUUCCUUCUUCUUUUUUUUCAUGCCUCAUGUCAUGCGAUUGUUAGUUGGCUCAUUGUGCUCGAUAUGUUGACUUCAAGUCUCACGUCAAGUGUUAGUUACAUUGAUUUCAAGCCCCCAUAUAAAUUUUUUUUUCUUGAAGAAAAAUUAUUCGAUAAAAUAUACCCUGUGGUCCUUUCCAUCUAUUUUUCAUACCUCAUGUCAAGUGAUUAUCACACGGACUCCACGUGGUUGAUAUGUUGACUCCAAGCCUCGUGUCAUGUGGCAGUUAUAUUGACUCCAUUUCUGUGUCCAUAUUUUUUUCUUGAAGAAAAAUUAUUUGAUGAAAUGUACCCAACACGUGCUACUUUCCGUCUUUUUUACCUGCCUCAUGUCCUGCUAUUGUCACGUUGACUCCAUGUGGUUGAUACAUUGACUUUAAUGUUAACGCAUAGACUCUAAGCCUCAUGUAAUGUGGGGGUUACAUUGACUUCAAUCCUGUGUAACAUUAUUUUCUUGAAGAAAAAUUAGUCGAUGGAAUAAUUAUUCACAUUUGGAAUAAUGUGGCACAUGUUUACUAGAUCGAGAUUUUUUUUAUGACGUAGAAUUAAGCUUGCUGUGAAUGUGACAUUAGUGUAAUAGUUUUGGAUUUUUCUUCUUUUUUUUAGAUAAUAACCCUAGAAAAUAAGAAAAGUUGGUUAUUUGCAAACUGUUAAUAAGAGUUGAUAAUUCUAGUUUUCUGACACUUAUCGACUCUGGAAAUCUCCAACACAAGAAAAAAGUCCAUCUUUUAACAUCAAGAUAGAAUAGUCCUUAGCCGAACUCCUUAUACAUCCUCGCAGUGCACCUACCUAACUAAUGAAAUUCCCUAGCGUAUAUUGCUAGAUGCAUAACUAGCUGAGUAAGUUAGCCACUCGAAUUUGUUGGAAUCUCGACCACAUAAGCAGCAUGUGCAAAUUAGAAGUGUAAUUAUGUUUGGGGGGGGGGGGGAGGGAUUGUCCCAAAAGUUUUAAAUCAAUUGUAUUUUCUCCAAUUUAAUCUUAAACCUUUUAAUUGUGCCAACUAAAUUUUAAAUCUUUUCACGUUUAGUCAAUUAAAUUUACUUGGCCAAUUUUGACUGGAAAUUGCUGACGUCAACGAUAUCAUCUUACGUGGCAUGUUUGACACACAGGUUGGAUUUUUAAUAAUAUUUUAAUUUACUUUGAAUUUUUAUUAUUUCCUUUAUUUUAUUUCUCUCUCUCUUUUUUUCCUCGCUUGGGCAAGGCCUAGUUCCAACAAGAGACCCUUUGCUAAAUCUAGCGAGGCCAACCCUUGCCCACGCUAGGACAACCUUGCUGAGCAUUGCUUAGGCAAGGUUUGGCCUCGUUAGACCUCGCUUGGGUGAGGGCCACCCUCAUCAAACUCCUCAAGUCAACGACCUACCCUCUCUCCUCUCUCUUACGGAGCUCGUGGCCAUGGGAGGCUCGUGCGAGCUCGGUGAGCUUUGUGAUAGAGUCCACAACAACCAUGCCACCAUGGUAGCGGCCAUGGAAGACCAAGGUCGAUCUGUUUCUAAAACAGGUCACUCAACCGUGAUAUAGACCAAAUCUAAGGCAACGAUCAUUGUUAGCCUCAAGUUGCGAAUUGAUGAAAAUUGAUGACCAUCACUAGCGAGGAUUACUCUGGCCUAGGCUAGGGUGAGGCUCGCCAACCCUUGCCCACCACAAGAGAGGGUUGGCAUCACUAGGGCACUCUCCUCACCACUAGCAAAAAGAAAAGGGAAUGAAAAAAAUUAGUAAAUAAUUUCAAAAACAAUUAUUCAAAUUGUCCACAUCAACAGUAGUCAUGUUACGUAAGACAAAUGAUGUUCAUAUCAUUAAUUUCUAGCCAAAAUUGUUCGAAUGAAUUUAAUUAGAAAAUGCGAAAAUGUUUAAAACUCAACGUACAAUUAAAAUGUUUAUAACUGAAUUGACAAAAGUGCAAUAAACUUAGGACUAUUUGGAAAAUUGUCCCUAAUGUUUGUGCGUUUAUUAUGCACUUGUAAUGAAUGUUUGGCUUAUCUGAAACAAAAAUUAAAGAAACUAAUAUUGUUUACGAAUCUAAAUCCCUAGUCCGAAAGAUACAAGUUGGUCACCUAUAAUCAUCUGAUACUCUAAAUUCAAGUUAUCGAAGAAAGAGUUUAAUUGGGCACCUAGAACUUUCGAGUAACACUAGUAAGAAUUCAUUAUCUAGUGAAGUAUAUGUGCAAAAUCUCAGAGAUUUAGCCCUAGAGUUCGGUUACAUAUGCGUGUGUCACGGGCCGAUCGAUUGGGAUCGUGACCACGCGGCGACUCGGGUAACUUUGGAUCACCCAAGCCAAGUCUUGCUCGAUCGAAUGCUUACCCACUCGCUUACUCGGAUUGUUGAGAGAGAAAGUUAGAGAGAUGAGCUCUGAAAGGAAAGGAAAGCUUUGGUAUUACUGAAAUGGAUUGGAUGAUUACAAAUGAGGGAGGACAUCCCUUUUAUAGUUGAGGGCCUCGGAUUACAUCCGUUGAUCUACUUUUCAUCCGGCGGACGAGAUCGCACCACCUCAACUACCGACAUAAAUAUUCAACUACCGUCUAUUGACAUUGAAGAAAGGAAACUUCUAGAAUCAGGCGAAAUGACGGUGUCGCCCGCCCUUGGAAACUUCAGGGAGAAGACUUGGUGGGAAUCCGAGUGAGAGCAGAAGGUCCACAGGUGAGUCGUGAUCACCCCUUGGGAACCUCUUGGGUCGACUCUCUUUAGGCCCGUGACAUUCUCCCCCACUCAAUUGAGCGACGUCAUCGUCGCUCUUAGCUUGACGGGCAGCCUUCUUGGCACGAGCGCGGGCUUUGGCACGGGCUCUCUUGUUCUUGUUUUGCUUCGAUCGGAUGCUCAUGAACGAAAGGUCGCAACCUUCUAUGAUGAAGUCGGACUUGGUAUGCGGCUCGGUCUUCGGCUUGGACUGAGCACGCGGCGCGCACUCAACCUCGGGGAAGAGCGCUUGGAUGGGCAUGGCAUGUGCUGGAGUAGGAUCCAACUUGACCUUUGGCUUCACCUCGGACAACUUGUUGGUGCGCAUCAUAGCCUUCAAGCUCUUGUCGAGGCGUCGAAUCGACGCGAUGGUCUUGGUGUCGACCAUCCCUUUGAUCACGGGGACAUACGUCGGGUACUCCGGAUCAAGGAUCACGAGGCACUUGGUCCUCAUAUCGAUCAAGGAUCUCACACUAUUGAAGAAUUGCAUACCAAGGAUGAGAUCAUAAUCAUCAAGAGGGAUUACCUCGAAAUCUAUCUUGCCCCUCCAAUCACAAAUUUUGACGUCCACAUCCGAAGUCGAUCCUACGCCACGGACGCCCUCCAAAUUGACCGGCUUGAAGGUAUUCCCGGUCGGCUCCACACGAAGGUUCAAGGCCUUCGCCACUUCUUUCGACAUGAACAUGUUCGACGCACCCAUGUUGAUCAAGGCAUAUAGCGUUCGGCCGCACACAUCGACUUGCACGAAGAACAUUUCUAAGUCCGGCAUAGCUUCUUUUUCUUUGGUUGGGGACCGAGCUUGGAUGGAGUUGAUCAUCUUCACGGCUCCAAGUCGAAUUUGUCUCUUUUCUUCUUUGGACUCCUCCUUUUCUUCCUCAAUGGCAAGGAGGGCGUUGAUUUGACCCUUCUUCGGGCACUUUUGGGUCCAGUGCGGACCUUGGCAAAUGAAGCAAGGAGAAGGCGGGGGUUGAUCGAACCUACUCGCGUAGUCCGUUGGUGGUCGACCCCUUUGGAAGGAUGGCUUGGAAGUUCCUUCUCCCCAUGUUUUGACUCGGCCACCUUGAUCGUGCGUGCCCCGGGGAGCGCUUUGUGCUUCAUCCUCGCAAGGUUGAUCCAACCUCCAAUCCCUUGGUCGACUCCUUGGUUCGGUCUUGGUAAGGUCAACGAGCGACUCGGCCACGCUUAGUGCUCACGCGAGACUACUCAUGUCCUGUCUCUUGAGCUCGAGAAGUGCCCACGACUUCAAUCCAUCCAUGAACACUCUGAGAGCCUCCUAUUCGCUUAGGUUGUGAAUCUGGAGUUUGAGCUCCGUGAACUCCUUCACGUACUCUUGGAUCGUGCCUCUUUGCUCGAGGCAAUGGAGCUUGCUACGGGCUUCUUGCUGAGCGAACUCGGGGAAAAAGUAGUCCUGGAACUCUCUCACGAAGUCGUCCCAUGUGCACACAGGAUCGGCACCACGUCUAACCUCAUCACACCUAUUGCGCCACCAAAGCAUUGCCGUAUCAGAUAGGAACAUGGAAGCGGUUCGUACCUUGGUCGUCUCGUCCUGUAUGUUGACGGUGCCGAAAUAUCGUCGACCAGAAGAAGUUGUCCACCUCCUUGGCGGAUCGUUCGCCUUUGAACUCCUUUGGCUUUGGCACCUCAAGUUUGGGCACCGCUUGGGUAGACAAAGCCCUAUUGGUGAUGCUUAGCUUGCACAGGGCGAGCUCGGUCUUGAGCUCUUGGAUCUCGGCUUCCAUGGCUUCUUCCUCGACCACUUGGAUGCGCUCCUUCAACACAUCGAUCGAUGCUUCAAGGGUUUCGUCCUUGUCGUGUAAUGGCGCGGUAGCUUCGUUGAGGCCGGUCGUGAAGUCUUCACGGAGCGAACUCUCAACCUCCAUGAUCCGGUCUCGCACAUCGUCAAGACCUUCCAUGAGUUUGAGCACGGCGCUCCAGACCUUCCCAAUCUUCUCAUCGAACGUGGCUAUGACGUCCAUCGAGGCGUCUCUUUUCUUUGCUCGGCCACGGGUCUCCUUGACUUGCGCGGCCUCUCCAUCCAUGACAGCUUCUUAGCUCGACAUUUGUUCGAACAGUUGGCGCUCCUUGGUCUCUCGAACGGAUCUCUCUUUUGCUUUGAUACCACUUGUCACGAGCCGAUUGAUUGAGAUCGUAACCGCGCGGCGACUCGGGCAACUUUGGAUCACCCAAGCCAAGCCUUGCUCGAUCGAACGCUUACCCGCUCGCUUACCCAAAUCGUUGAGAGAGAAAGUUAUUGCUCGAUCGAACGCUUACCCGCUCGCUUACCCGGAUCGUUGAGAGAGAAAGUUAGAGAGAGGAGCUCUGAAAGGAAAGGAAAGCUUUGAUAUUACUGAAAUGGAUUGGAUGAUUACAAAUGAGGGAGAACACCCCUUUUAUAGUUAAGAGCCUCAGAUUACAUCCGUUGAUCUACUUUUCAUCCAGCGGACGAGAUCGCACCGCCUCAAUUACCGACAUAAAUAUUCAACUACCGUCUACCAACAUUAAUGAGAGGAAACUUCUAGAAUCAAGCGAAAUGAUGGUGUCCCCGGCCCUUGGAAACUUCGGGGAGAAGACUUGGUGGUAAUCCGAGUGAGAGCAGGAGGUCCACGGGUGAGUCGUGAUUGCCCCUUGGGAACCUCUCGGGUCGACUCUCUUUAGGCCCGUGACACGUGGAUAUUACUAAACUAGCAGCCUGCUAUGCCUUUUUGGUACGGCAACUCUUUGUGGUUGAUGAAUACCACAGAUUAAUUGAUUAUUUUCCCUCAGUCCAUUCAAGCAUGACGAAUACACCUUUCCAUCAAAGUUGGAAAGUCAGAUAUGCACUGAGAGAUUGCACUUUGAUCCAACCUCCUUAAUCCAUUAGAUUUAAACUUGUCGAUGACAACGUAUUUCGAGUCUCUUUUCUGCCUUUCAAUCCCUUUUGCCUCUUGUAAAAUUAGGGUAGUACAAAAGCAAAACUUGUGUUUCAUCAGUCGGUAUCAGUAUCACAACACUCAGAAUUUAUAUAACCAAAACUUUGCAGGCCAGAAGAUUUCAAUCCUAUUCUACAAAACCAACUGGGCUCAAGCCUUUUUAGGUAAGGCCCGAGCCCAAACAAUCCAAACAAGGCCCAAUAGCUGCUGCACUGCAAGAUCAUCCCACUGAUGGGAAAUCGAAAUGCCCAUCCCCUGUUCUCUAUGGAAAUUCGGGGUCCUUCAAGGAAUGAACUCUUGGUAGGAGAAACAAUGGGCAUUCUUCUUUAGAUCCAGGAUGCAAUUUUUCAAUUUACAGAGGUGAAUUUUUCGUGGAGAUUCUCCAAGCGGUCCUGCUUCAUCUCGACGGCUCCAUGUUGCCGACCUUGCAAUGCGCUUUAAUGUUCCUUGUAUUGAUGAGCUCUAAUCUCUUGCCACUUCCUGAUCUUGUGCUGAACUGAUCCAUCCUUGUCUUAGACCCCUCCUUCAGACUCCCUUUCCUACUCAGUAAAUUCGACACAGAAGGUUUGCAAGACCUGGGAUUUUUGUGAUCCAAGAUAAACUUCCGAGGUGACAUACUCAGGAAUCGCGCUGUUUCAUCGGAAUCCCAAUCGAAUCUCCUCUCGGAGGGCCAGAAGAAUGGCUCAUUGUUAGGAUUCUCGUAAUCUGCAAUUCCAGGAAAAUCUUCUGAAGAGAGAUCGCCUGGUGAAUUCCCUUGCGUCGCUUCCAGGAGAGAUGAUCCGGUAGAGAUUGAGGAUGUUGCUCCAAGGCUGUAACUGCGCCGACAGGAUGGGCUCGGGAAAUCUGACUGAAAAUUCUCCAAAUCGGCAUCCACGUCGCAGAACAACUUUGAAUCUUCCUCAUCAAGAUUCACCAAAGAGACCAGAUAACUGAGUGUGUCCUCAUCUGAACUUGGAAACGAUGGCGAAUCAAGGUUCUUCAUGGAGCCGGAUCGACUCCACAAACAUUCUUGACCUGCGGAUUCAUUUCUCAAAAUAUCACGAGACCGGGAAAUCUCGGUUGAAGUGAUUAGCCAAUUUUCUGCAUCUGCAUCAUCGUUCAGAUCACCCACAUGGAUAAAAUCAAAAUCCAGGGGGGUGCUUGCAAAAGCCAAAGAUGCACCUUCAUUGCUCAAACGAACUCUUGAUAACCAAGAGCUAAACAAUUUAUCAACAAGUGUGUAGGAUCCUGACAAAAAGUAUUCGUCUACUAAGAUCGAACGAGGUGACCAACAAUCUGAAGACAACCACACGCACUCACUAUCAUCGGAACCAAAAUGAGUUUCCUCGCCAAAAUCGGCCUUUCCUAACUUUGAUGAACCUGUGCCGUUCCGUGCAGUUCUGAGAACUAGAUCAUUCUUUUCAGCAUAUAACAUCCUUGAUUCUCUGAUGGUGCAGAUCGAACCCAUUGUAAAAAACUUAUCUGCUCAUUGGCUUGAAGCAAUCGUCUUCGUCUUCAUGGACAUCGGUGAAACUCGAUUCGUAAUUGCCCAAGAGCUGUUCACUUGAAUCACGUUGAAUCAAACUCCAGCAUUUUGGACUGUUGCAUUGGAUUAGCCGGUCGAUUGGGACAUUUUGUGAAUAAAGAAGUUGAGGAGAAAGAUCCAGAAUUUCAAUAAGAUCGGCACUCCCAGAAGAGGUGUCGGACAAGUAUAUUGAACGAGAGAUCAAAACAAACCACAAAAAAAGAGACAAGACAGGAUUGAACGUUACCAGGAUACUGGUCACUUAAGCAGUAAAAUAGUGAAUAGAAAGAAGAAAACAAGAAUGAAUUCGGAAGAAUGAGGCUAAACAAAGGUAAUUACAGUUAUUUGGGUCAAACAAACCAAAAGUCGAAGGAAUCAACUAGCCAACCCAAUAUAGCAACUUAAAUUAGAGGAAAUAUAAAGUCAACACUGUGUUGUGGCACACAAGAAAGAUUUGAAAUUUCAACCUUGAAGAGGUCAGAUGGAACACCCAAACUAGAAGAAUUCAAGCCUGUUUUAUUAGAUCAAAAUUGUGCAUGUGUCAUCCCAGUCCCAUUGAUCAAUAGAUUGAUCGCAAGAAAUAAGCAAUGUACACAGAGAGAAACACCAUUUGAUUAGAGAGGAUGAUUGGAAUGUUGGCUGAUUCCAAAGGUAAUUGACCCCUAAAUUUGGAUCUUUUUGACUUUUUGAGCUUGACUUCGCCCCCUCUUUAGAACGUAUCAAUAAAUUAGGCCCACUUAAGAUUUUGAUUUUGAGAUCAAACUAUUGUUAAUUUGUGGUGUCGAUGUGACACAAAACUCAUUUAAGUUGUAGUACAAUUUCUACAAGUAGUUCCUUAAAAUUUUAAAAUGACACAAGCAAGCUUUAGAAAGUUUUUAAAUUAAAAUGAGUACUUGAACAAUGAUUAUUCCAAUCGAAAGGUUAAGGAAGAAAAGGGAAAGAGCAUAGAUUUCAUUAAUGGUCAAGGUAAUCUUUGGUUUCCCAUCAUGGUUCCACCAUGAUAAUCUGGUUGAUCUAAUAUUAAUCUCUCCAUUGAACUAGUAAACUUACACAUUACUAACACUUACAAUUAGGACAGAAGGAGCAUAUACCCCUAUAUCAUUACUCAAGGGAGCACUUCUUUCGAGGGCUUAAGCAUAUAAGCCGAUAGAAAGGUGAAAACAUCAAGUAAAGGACAUAUUUGAAAGUGCUAGUAUGAACUCCUAGAAGGGGCUGAAUAGGUGUAAGAAAAUUUUUCGCAAAGAACAAUAGAAAUAUUUCAAUUUUGAAGCUGAGUUUGAAGAGCAGUUGACUUUGAGCAAAAUCAGACUUUAGCAGUUAAAUAGAACUACGGACAAAAUAAAGGAAUUUAGGGAAGAGAACAAGAACACAGAUUUUAUAGUGGUUCGACUUAGAUUAAGUCUACAUCCACUCUCCUACGCUAACAGCCUUCUAGCUAGAUUCCACUAUAUAAUCAACAAGAGAUUUAACACUUAGUAGUAGAUCACACUAUCUCACUAAGUCACUUUUUAUUUCUCUCACGAUCACAAACGUUUAAGCUCACUAAAGACAAAUGUAUGAUCGAAGUUCGCUCAGAUUUUGGAAUUAUAAAUUCUACACUCCGUCUCUCACUUGCUUAUCGGUCUUUGGUCUCCUUAAAUACUCCUCCACUUCCAAACUAGCCGUUGAACAGUAUCUCGAGAAUCGUCUUCUAAUCUACCCAUUGGACAGAUCUGUAUCUAGAAUAUUUGAUAGCCGUUGAGUGAUAGAAGUAGAAUCCCAAAUUGAUUCUGAUCGUCUAUAUAAACAGAAUCUUGGUUUCCAUAAGUAGAGUUUCUUCGUAUAGAAAGUUCUUGUCUUCAAGAUCUAAUUAUCAAUCAAUUAGAUUAAGUCAAUUAAAUCAAUCUUGAUGUAGAAUCCAAACUAGAUCCUAGCUGUUAUACGUUUAAGACUUGUGUUACAUUCUGUCUCGUUCUAGAUGUAAAGUUUGAAAGCAGUAGAUUUUACAAUCGGAGUCUGAAUGCAAUAGACUUUGCAAUCUAGACGUAAGUCUGAACAUAUUCUGCUUCUGAACAUAUUUAGCUUUAAGGUUUAAACACAGUAUGAAUAAGUUCAGCUUCAACAUAGAGUUUGUCUUCUAGUUUUUCCAAGUAUAGACUUUGAUAAUAUCCUUUACAUAAUCUAUCAGCUGCAUACUUUGUUGCUCAACAAUUAAACACAUUAGUAGCCUUUGAUUUAUUUUGUCAUCUUCAAAACAUCAUAAGAGAUUUUUCUAACAAUCUCCCCAUUUUUUAUGAUGACAAAACAAUAUCUGAAUAUGUAGAUGUGUAAUCAUGCUUUUAAAGAUAAUAAUAAAUCAAGGCAAUAAUAAAUCAAGGCAAUCUUAAGAAAUAAUGUAAUUCAAUAUAGCAAAUAGAUUGAGCAUAUAAUUAUAUAUGUAAAGUUAAUCGCAAUUCAAUAAAUAUCAAUACAUAUGCAUAUUUAUAUUCUCUCCCCAUUUUUGUCAUAAUCAAAAAGCAAUAAUAGUGGAAAUAGUAUCACGUGAAGAAUAUAAAAUGAUAACAAAUAUCUUGCAUGAAAUACAAUUUCCAAAAAAUCAGCUUUUACAAAGUAAGUCGAAUAUAAAAGAUAUACAAUAUAGUUCACUUCAAUCAUAUAUAUCAGCAAAUAUUCAAUAAAAAAUCACGAGUGGAUUAUAAAAUUCACUUACUCUUUUUGUUAUAAUAAAACGAUAAUAUAAAUAAGAGAUUUGUUAAUGACAAAAGGUAAUAAAAGAUGCACUAACUGGAUUUGGUAAAACUUAACAAGUUCUAUCACUUUUACAUUUCCUUCUUUCCAUAAUAAUCAAGAUCACGAUCAAUUCAAAAAGAUUUUUCCAUAAUUGAUCAAUGCUCCCCCUCAAUUUGUUGCAUUUUUGAGAUGAUCAUGAUUCUUUCCUUUCUCUUGGAUUCUCUUUCUCCCCCUGUCAUCAUGACAAUAAUUGUGAAUAGCACUAAUUGUGGCUUGUGCACAUUGAGCAGAAUAUUUUUCAAUUAUUUCCUUCGUAGCAACAAUAUCCACACCAAUCAUUUGCAUUUUAAAAUUCGAGGCAAAAAUUUAUUUUCUUCAAUCAAGCUCGUCUCGAAAUCAAUCUGCAUGAACUUAACGAAUUUUUUGCACAAAUAAGCUGUAAUAAUAUCCACAUUAUAUAUGCCCUUUCUUCAAAUAAAUUGAAUAGCAUAUUUAAAAUUAUUGAUUAUUAAAAUUCCGAACUAUUUAACCUUCCGUACGACACAUAAGAGAUUUCCUCAACAAUUUGCAAAAACUUUGCACAAGGAAGGGAAUUUUUUAGCCUCCAAAAAAUAGGAUAGAAUCUCCACAAUUUUUUAAUCAAGCUUUCCAAAAUUCAUAUGGAAGAUUCUAUUGCCACCUGCAAAAUCUUGUAUAAUAGAUAAUAAUCUUUGCAAAAAUGUCACGUAAUACCUUCCUCCAAUUUGCAAAUCAAACUUGCUAGAUGUAAGAUAUCUUCUAAGAAUAUAGCAAGAAUAUCCAUAAAUAUGCAAUAAUAUCUUUCAAAAUCAAAGGGAUUUCCUUAAGCAUAAAUCUUAAAAAAUAUAUUAUUGAUGCAUUUCGCAAAAAGAAGGUAGAUAUUUUUAUCACGUGCAAAAUUAAAAAAAAAAUGCAAUGCCUAAUGUUUAUAAAAAAAAGAUAUUUGCAAUAUAAAUCACAUAUAAUUCAUAGGCAAUCAUGAUAAAUGUAUGUAGAGAUUUGUAAGGCAGGAAAAAAAAAUAUUCUCUUACCCAAGGUAUAUGUUUGCAAUAUACCAUUGAUUAAAAAAAAAAAUCAUUACCAAUCUUCGCAUGAGAUACCUAUUUGAUUGCACUUACGUAAACUCGCAAUCAUUCUUCCCUUAUAGAAUUUAUUGCAAUGCACUCAUUUCCUUUUUGGUAUCCAUUAAUUUGGAUCCUUCCAUUUCUUUAGAGUAGAAUAGAAAAUCUUCAAGAAUAAUCAAAUAUUCUUUCUAAACUCAUCAAAACAAAGUAUUUAAGGAAAGAAUAUUAUGCACAAUAAUAUCUUGAAGAAGAAAUUCUCCCUUGGUCAUAGCAUGAUAAAAUUAAGAAGAAUGAAAUCUUUGAGUAUCUAGGAAUAUCUUGCAUAAUAAAUUAAUAUCUUAUAAAACAGAUUUCUACUUUGCAAAAUAUGACAAUUUGAGAGCACAAAAUCAAACCAAAUAAAUUCAUUUCUCUCUAAGCAAACUAUUAAAAAAAUAAUCACACGAUUCUUUCUUCAAGAAAACAAAUCAAAGAAUAUGAUCAUUAUAAAAUCUGAAUUGAUUUAUCAAAUAUCAAGCAUAAUAACAAUUAUGUGCCCAAAAAAAAAAACAUUCCUUACCAAAUUCUCUUUCUUCUUUUUCUUUAUUUCCUGCAAAAACAACUCAUCUUUUCUUUGGUACCCAUUUUUUCUUGGGUCCAUGAGAGUUAGUAGAGUAUGUUGUUUUUAUCCAAUCUUUCUUAACAUAUCUCUAGACUUUAGGACAUUCUUUCUUAAAGUGUUCCAAGUCUCCACAAUUUAAACAUUUGAGGGCAUUUCGGCCAACAUGUAUUGUAAAGAUCUUUUAAAAAUGCUUCUUGUACGCAAUUCCAGGAGGUAUUUGUUUAAGUCUCUCCUUAACUUUAGGAAAAUCUAUUAGAGAAUCACUUUUCUUUUGAAACCAAGUCCCGACUUAUUAUAGUAAGGUACGUGUAUGGAAAGGAUAUGCUCUAAUGUUUUUGAACCAUUUGAAAAUGUUGUCGAAAUAUUUGAAAAUUCUUUUUUUAAAGAAUUAUUUUCUUUGACAAGUAAAUCUCGACUUUCUUUUGUUUGUAGAAAAUCUUUUUGUAAAAUUUCAAACGUUUCUUUUCGAGAAAGAUCCUAUUGCCUAAGCCAUGAAUUUUCAUUUUUUAGUUCGAAGAUCCUUUUAAGAGAAGAUUUGAGAUUUAAGCAAUGCUCAUUUAUAUACUUAAGAAGUUUAGUAGGAAUUCUUGAAUGGCUUACCAUGAUUUCCAGAUCGGAUUCUGAGUUUGUGUCUAAGUCAGACUUUAAUUCUGAGUUUGUGUUUGAGUCAGACUCAGAUUCUGAAUAUGUCAUCAAGCAUAUAUUUCCUUGCUCAUCAUCUUCUUUUAUUGUUCUUUUCUGGCCAUUCUAUUUGUAUUGUCUUUUUUCACUGAAUUUCCUUCAUUUUCUACUCAGUUUUUUGAAUUUCCUGAUCAUAAAAGCAAGUUCUUCGUCGUCCAUGUCAUUUUUUGAGUCUAUAUCAUCAGAAUCAAUGUUAGAUAUUAAAGCGAUGGACUUGUUACCUUCCGAAUCUUCUUCGUUGAUUUGUUCCACUUCGUAGGAUUGAAGAAUGCCAAUCAAUUCAUCAACGGAGAGUGGCAUAAUCCUCUGAGUCUCAUGGAUUGAGGUCUUGACAUGGUUCCAAUCUUUUGAGUGACCUAGCAAGAGUUUGUUGACCUUUAUUAGGGAAGAACUUGGCUGACCUUGAUAUACUAAACCAUUUACAAUUUCUGUAAAACGGCUGAACAUAUCUCCAAUCGACUCUCCUUGCUUUAUCUUGAAAGAUUCAUAUUUGCCGAGCAGGAAGUUUACUUUUAUCUCUUUUACAUGAUUAGUCCCUUCAUAAGUGACAUGAAGUCUAUUCCAAACUUCUUUUACUAUUUCACAUGAAGAAAUUCUGUUAUAUUCAACAUGAGACAAGGUGCAAUAUAAAGAAUAAAUGGCUUUUGCAUCAAGAGCUUCUCUUUUGGACAUCUCCGUCCAAGACAUAGGAGCAUGAGGUUUGGUUUCUUUGUUUUUGCUAUUCUUAUUUGAUGUAGACGCAGCAGUGUGAUUGAUUCCUUUUUUCCACAACAUUCCAUUACAAGGGAUCUCUAGAUCUUAGGAAUGCUUUCAUUUUGUUCUUCCACACGUUGUAUUCAUUUCCAUCAAAAUAUGGAGGCUUGGUGUUGUUUUGCUCUUCCAUAAGUCCUUAUGCCAAGAUACUAGCCAUAGAAAAUCUUUAGCUUAAAAGUAAAAAUGCUUUUAUAAACCAAGCACUUGGCUUUGAUACCAAUUAAAAGUGCUAGUAUGAACACCUAGAGGGGGGUGAAUAGGUGUAAAAAAUUUUUUCGCAAAGAACAGUAGAAAUUUUUCAAUUUUGAGACUGAGUCUGAAGAGCAGCAGGCUUUGAGCGAGAUCAGACUUUAGUAGUUAAAUAGAACUAUGAACAAAAUGAAGGAGUUCGGGGAAGAGAAAAAAAACACAUAUUUUAUAGUGGUUCGGCUUAGAUCAAGUCUACGUCCACUCUCCCACGCUAACAGCCUUCUAGCUGGAUUCCACUAUGUAAUCAACAAGAGAUUACAACUUUGAGUGCAAACACUUAGUAGUAGAUCACACUAUCUCACUAAGUCACUCUUUUGGUACUUCUCUCACGAUCACAAACGUUUAAGCUCACCAAAGACAAGUGUAUGAUCGAAGUUCACUCAGACUUUGAAAUUAUAAAUUCUACACUUCGUCUCUCACUUGCUCAUUGGUCCUUGGUUUCCUUAAAUAUUCCUCCACUUCCAAAUUAGCCGUUAGACAGUAUCUCGAGGAUGGUCUUCCAAUCUACACAUUGGACAAAUUUGUAUUUAGAAGAUUUGGUAGCCGUUGGGUGAUAGAAGUAGAAUCCCAAAUUGAUUCUGAUUGCCCAUACAAAUAGAAUCUUGGUUUCCAUAAGUAGAGCUUCUUCGUAUAAAAAGUUCUUGUCUUUAAGAUCUAAUUGUCAAUCAAUUAGAUUGAGUCAAUCAAAUCAAUCUUGAUGUAGAAUCCAAAUCAGAUCACUAGCCAUUAUACAUUUAGGACUUGUGUUACGUUCUGUCUCGUUCUGGAUGUAAAGUCUGAGAGCAAUAAAUUUUACAAUCUGAGUCUGAGUGCAAUAGACUUUACAAUCUAGAUAUGAGUGCAAUAGAUUUUACACUCUGGACGUAAGUCUGAACAUAUUCUGCUUCUGAACAGAUUUAGCUUUAAGGUCUGAACACAGUUUGAAUAAGUUCAGCUUCAGAAUAGAGUUUGUCUUCUGGUUCUUCCGAGUAUAGAAUUUGAUAAUAUCAUUUACAUGUUUUAUCAUCUACAUAGUUUGUUAUUCAACAAUUAAUCACGUUAGUAGCCUUUGAUUUAUUUUGUCAUCUUCAAAACAUCAUAAGAGAUUUCCCUAACAAUAUUAAAGUUGAAGACAAGUAUCAUUGCCAACUCUCAAGUUUGUCCAGCAACGACUUCCAAAAUUACUUUCAAAGCAUUCCCACAAUAGAUUAGGAAGCCAGAAAACCCUAAAAUUACAUAUCCGGGUCACCACGAAUUCUCAAGAAUGUAUGGGGUCAUGCGGAUAUAUUACACUCUGGUGUCCAUAUCCGGACAAGUCUAUCAUAAAAGGAACAAGUAGCAAUCACCAUGUUCUCUCUUUUGCCCUCUUUUUGACCCACCUUUCUGCCAAUCUGCAUCGUACGCAAGUGAGCUAUGCCUACUGUGUGUCUCUACAAUUUUAAUCUUCUCACCCCUGAGAUCAACGAUAGAAAAUCCAUUGUGCAUACAAGCUACCAAGACUACACCGGGUAUAUGAGGAUGUUGCUUGAUUCUCCAAACUCCUCCCCCCAAGCAGAUUGAACUCUGAUUUAUAGGUUUUGAGAUCGAUCUUAUAUCCCAAACUCUAAUGUGUUCAUCGUAGCUACCGGUAAGGACGACAUUAGGGUCGGAUAUGCUUUUCGUGAUGCAGCAAACACCCAUUUUAUGUUCCUUGGAAUUUC
This 31471-nucleotide long non-coding RNA is filed under the name Eucalyptus grandis. RNAcentral's name for it is "long non-coding RNA (EGRA_LNC004536)". Lineage: Eukaryota; Viridiplantae; Streptophyta; Magnoliopsida; Myrtales; Myrtaceae. The record is from RNAcentral.